GGAGAGGUGGCAGAGUCCGGUUGAAUGCGCACGACUCGAAAUCGUGUAUACCGCAAGGUAUCGAGGGUUCGAAUCCCUCCCUCUCCGCCA
Molecule: transfer RNA, 90 nt
Filed under: Candidatus Ryanbacteria bacterium CG10_big_fil_rev_8_21_14_0_10_43_42
Lineage: Bacteria; Candidatus Ryaniibacteriota
Description: tRNA-Ser
Rfam family: tRNA
About the family: Transfer RNA (tRNA) molecules are approximately 80 nucleotides in length. Their secondary structure includes four short double-helical elements and three loops (D, anti-codon, and T loops).
Source: RNAcentral